This 322-nucleotide small nuclear RNA is filed under the name Propithecus coquereli (Coquerel's sifaka). Its description in RNAcentral is "7SK RNA (ENSPCOG00000011267.1)". It matches the Rfam family "7SK RNA". Rfam says of the family: 7SK was discovered as an abundant small nuclear RNA in the mid-70s but a possible function has only recently been suggested. Two independent studies have found that 7SK RNA binds the CDK9/cyclin T complex (known as elongation factor P-TEFb). P-TEFb activates transcription by phosphorylating the C-terminal domain of RNA polymerase II. The record is from Rfam by way of RNAcentral. Lineage: Eukaryota; Metazoa; Chordata; Mammalia; Primates; Indriidae.
GGAUGUGAGAUCUAUCUGGCUGUGACAUCUGUCACCCCAGUGACCAGAUCGGCUGAUCUGGCUGGUUAGGCGGGUAUCCCCUUCCUCCCUCGCCACUCCAUGUGCGUCCCUCUGGAAGCUGCACACUCGGUUGAAGAGGACUAUCUUCCCUGAUAGAGGAGGACUGUCCUUUGGUCAAGGGUAUAUUAGUAGCUGUGCUCCCCUGCUAGAACCCCCAAACAAGCUCUCAGGGUCCGUUUGUAGGAGAACGUAGGGUAAUCAAACUGCCAAGACUCCAGACACAUCCAAAUGAUGCACUGCAUGUGGCAGUCUGCCUUUCUUA